GCCAGACUCCUACGGGAGGCAGCAGUGAGGAAUAUUGGUCAAUGGUCGGGAGACUGAACCAGCCAAGCCGCGUGAGGGAUGAAGGUACAGAGUAUCGUAAACCUCUUUUGUCAGGGAACAAAGGCGGGGACGUGUCCCCGGAUGAGUGUACCUGAAGAAAAAGCAUCGGCUAACUCCGUGCCAGCAGCCGCGGUAAUACGGAGGAUGCGAGCGUUAUCCGGAUUUAUUGGGUUUAAAGGGUGCGCAGGCGGCACGGCAAGCCGGCGGUCAAAUCGCGGGGCUCAACCCCGCCCAGCCGUCGGAACUGCCGGGCUAGAGUGGGCGAGAAGUGCGCGGAAUGCGUGGUGUAGCGGUGAAAUGCAUAGAUAUCACGCAGAACUCCGAUUGCGAAGGCAGCAUACCGGCGCCCAACUGACGCUGAAGCACGAAAGCGUGGGUAUCGAACAGGAUUAGAUACCCUAGUA
This 464-nucleotide ribosomal RNA is filed under the name uncultured bacterium. RNAcentral describes it as "bacterial SSU rRNA". It matches the Rfam family "Bacterial small subunit ribosomal RNA", at positions 330 to 792 of the family's 1533-position model. The record is from RNAcentral.